UUUUUUUUUUUCUUCCUUUUGCAGGUUUCUUAUUUUUGUUACUUUUCUCAUUUCCAUUCUUAUUUUGCAGCCUGCAGCGUGUUGUAAAUCGUUAAGACAAGAAAAGCAUUGAUUUCCAAUGGGGUGGAUUGAAGAAAAUAUGAAAUCAACUCAUAUUAGACAAAUUCUCUCUCAAGCCAUCAGCCUCGGUGCGUUUCCACUUUUCUCUUAAUUCUUUAAAAUCCUUUUAUACUUCAAACAAUUCCAUCGGAUAAUGAUUGAAAUUUUUAGUUUAAAUCUCGUUAAGGAAUGGUUAUUUCAUCGGCACUGAUAAUAUGGAAAGGAUUGAUUUGCAUUAUUGGGAGCGAGUCGCUGGUGGUGGUUGUGCUAUCUGGGAGUAUGGAACCCAGUUUCAAACGAGUGAGCCAAUUUUUUACACGUAUUUAAAAUUAAGUACUUAAAAAUUUUGAGCUUUGAUUUGUGAUAGUCAUAUAAAUUUAAAUUUGCGAAAUGCAGGGAGAUAUAUUUGUGAUAGUCAUAUAAAUUUAAAUUUGCCAAAUGUUGAACUGCUUGAACGACAAGUGAUAGAAGGUUCUCAUGUUCUGAUGUAGAAAAUCUCUAGAAAGUAGAAACAAAUAGUUUUGAUAAGGUUAACACCAUGGUCAACUCUAACAGUCUUGUGCAUGAGCUGUGUACUAGUGGUUGAACAUUUUCUUUCUGAAAUUUAUAUAGGUGUUAUGGCUGUAAAUUAUUUGAAUUAACGGGUCCCCGCCUGGUUAUUCUGUAUGCUGGAUUUAGUACAUUUCAUGUUUGGUUAUGCUUUGUCAGGUUCAUGAGCAGCGAGAUAGCAAAGAAGCUGAUAUACUCACUAAAGGUAACGUAUCCUUGAUAUCAAGCUAGUUGAAUGUGAGCAAAUACAAGUUGUGGUUUGUUUGUUUGUUUUCAACGAACUUUAAACUUUUUAUUAUCAAUCAUGAAAAUAUUUUCUGACUAUUAAAAUCUCUUUCCCCACCAAUGAAGUGGAGAGUGGACACUUCCAAAUAGUUUUGUUUGUUUACUUGUGGAAUGGUCUUAAAUACAUUCCAAGUUCUUCUCAUUUUUUCAUAUGUGUGUGUGUGUGUGUGGUUGAUCAUUCUUUAAAUAUCUUCAUAUGUACAGCUACUGCUUGAGUAUGCUAACCUUUUUAAUCUUUUGACUGGACAUAUUAAUCAGGAGACGCUAAUCUCUACGAUGACAGAAUGUUGUACACAUCUAGUAAUCGUUGGUUGCAACAAAAAUACAUCAUUGGCAGAACUGUUGGGUAAAUCAAACACCUCUAUAUUUCUCAAAGUGUUAACAAGUUCUAGAAGUGAAAACAUUUGUAAAACACUCUGAUUAGGAAUUUCUUGCAUCACCAUUUGUGAUGUAUGCUUUGAGUUUCAAGUUCAUCACACUUCAAUAGUAAAAUUACUCUUCUGUUUUAUUAUUUAUUGUAUUUUUAAUUGUAUAUAUCUUCUCUGAACUAAUGUUUUAUGUUUUCUGCAUGGCAGAAAGGAUCCCAUAGCGUUCACUUAUGCUUACCUGAGGUUUGUUCUAAAUUUUUCCAAAAAUUGGGCUGCCCAGAAAAAAAAAAACUUGAAAUAGGUUUACUUAGUACUAGUUAAAUCGGGCUUGAUUUUAGAUAAAUCUAAUUAUUAUCUUUAAGCAUGAUAUGUUCUAAUACUUUGAUUUAAGCUGUUGAUGUAUGUAUUCUGACUAUGGAAUAUCAUGUUCAAAUAUUCUACAAAGAAGAUAAUUAGGAGAUUCUGCAAUUGUUGAUGGUAAUUGGAAUUUAAGAAUAUAAGCUUAAGGGUUUAAUUGAAAUUUAAGCAUGAUAUGUUCUAAUAUUUUAAAUUUAUAUUGAUGAAUACUUUCCACCUAUAUUGACUUAAGUGAGUAGAUAUAUCAGUAGUGUACAUUUUUUUAUUCCACAAACAAUCUUAAAAAGUUGAGAUAUAUUUUUUAGAUGUAUUUUUUAAUAAUUUACUAUAACAUUAUAAGACACCUAAUUUACUAUAACAUUAUAAAACUAUCUUAAAAAGUUGAAUUGAUUUACGUAUCUUUGCCAUGUUCACUAUGGUUUGAACAGAUUAAGUUACUCUUAUUUUCUUGCAGAGCAUGUAGGAGCCAAAUUUGCGGUUCAAAUUCGAAGCCAUGCUCAAAAGUUUUUCUCUAAGGCUCAUUGCUUUGAGUUCAUUACAAGAUUUCCUUGAUUAAGUAAAUGUAUUAUAUCUUUUAUUACCAAGAUUUACUUGAUUAAGAAAAUGCAUUGUAUAUUUUAUUACCUUGCAUAUGUAUUGUUUAUUUUAGUUUUGAUUCUAAAUUUGUAUUUUUACUUAAGUGGUUUAACUUUUGGAUUUUAAUUGUGUUAUUAAUUUAUUAUUUUAAAUUCUAAUUUUAAAUUCAUUAAUUGUUAUAUUUAUAUUUAGUUUUAAAGUUAAAAUUUUCGUAGAAAAUUUAAUUUAAAUAAUAUUUUUUAUUUAUCCUUAAAACAUAAUAUAAUAUUUAUCAUAGAAAUAAAUAUUAUUUGAAAAAAAAUUAUUUUUUUUAAAAGAUAUAUUUUUAGCGGCGGUUGUGUUAAAAGUGCUGCUAAAGGUCUAUUCUAUAGCGGCGUUUGUGGGAAAAAGCGCUGCUAAAGCUUAAUAUCUUUAGCGGCGUUUGUGAAAAAAGCGCUGUUAAAGGUCUUGGACUUUAGCGGCGUUUGUGGGGAAGCGCCGCUAAAGGUCUUGGUCUUUAGCGGCGUUUGUGGGGAAGAGCCGCUAAAGGUCAUGGUCUUUAGCGGCGUUUAUUUAUAAAAACGCCGCUAAAAUUAGCGACGCUGUCAUUAGCGGCGUUUUUAGCGGCGCUUCUCAAAGUACCGCAAAUACUUUUAGUGGCGCUAAAAACGCCGCUAAAGACUUAAAAAAGCGCCGCUAAAAGCUUGUUUUGGUGUAGUAUACUGAGUUUAACUCGAGAUUUUUGUUAUAAUGUUUAGCUGCUAGGAAAAUGGAAGUUCUGGCGUUUGGAAAAGCUAAGCUUGGGAGACAAGAGACAUCACGUGAGUUUCUAUAUUCCAUCCCUAGAAAUGUUAAAUGGCUGGAAUGAUUAUGUAUUAAGUACUAUAAUGAUGUAUAAACUAUACUGAUUGUGAAUGCUAAGUACAAGUGGCUCAUUACGGAGGGAUUACAAUCGAUAGCAGGAAACCCCACUUCAAAUCAAAAUGAACUACAAGACUACUAUACAAAAUCGUCGAAACUAAAACUACCAAGCAAAAUAUGAAUAGAUAUGUGGAAAAUUACAAAUGGUUUUAUUCCAACACCUUACAACUUAAAGUAGAAAGGCCUGGUAAGAAACGAUCGAUGCCCGAUGUGCAAGGAUAGGGAGGAAUCAGUGGAACAUAUAUUUCGGGAUUGUACCUUCACAGCAAAGAUCGUGCAAUAAUUGGGUGUGGCAGACUCAACCACCAAUAGAAACCAGGGUUAGAAAAAUUGGUUAGCAAUUUUCUUUCUAAACAACAAUCAUACACAAUUCAAACUGUUAGCCAUGACAUAUUGGUCCUUUUGGUUUAACAGAAAUAAAAUGUACCACGAAGACAUUAAACCCAAUAAAACAGAGUUGAUAUCAUUCAUCAGGGCAUAUAUUAUAGAAAAUGAAAUGUUGAAUGGUUUGCUGAUAAUAAAAUCAGUAGACAAAAAUAUAAAAUGGGAACCACCCAAUGCAGAUACUAUCAAAAUAAACUUCGAUGCUUGCAUGAACGAGGGACUGGUAAUGGGUGCAUUUAUUUACCCAUGUAGACACAUCGCGAUCCCAACAACGGCGGAGGCAUGGGCGUGCUUGCAUGCAAUCACUUUCGGGGAAGAGUUAGGAUUCCGAGAAAUAUGUUUCGAGGAGGACUCAUUAAUGGUAAUAAGGGGAAUAGAAAUUUCAAAAGUGGCAGAUCAGAUAUUAGCGCAAUAUUAAAAGAAAUAAAAAAGAAAAUCCCUAAUUUCACAAGGAUCACUUUUCGGUACAUACCCAGAACAGCUAACGGUGUGACACAAGCAUUAGCAAGAGAGGGUCGAUGUCAUGAGCUGCCACGAUACUGGAUAGAGGAGGUCCCAGAUUCAUUAGAAGAAGCUGUCAAAUAUGACCGAGAAGCAAGUGAGAGGACAGUUUGAAAAAAGGCGUUGUGAGACCGGAAAAGGUAAAAGGCUAUUACGAGGACUUGUGGACACAAGUGAUUCUAUCUGGCACUGGUGCAGGUGUUUAUUUUGGCGAAGAAGAAGAUAGGUAGUGAAAUGGGGAGAUCUGGGUGAUUGCUUAGGUUUUAGAAAGUUCUGUUUUUGUUAGGGUUUGAUUUCAUUACUACACCGUUUGGGUGCCCAAUAGAAAAUUAGGUUAGUAAAUGCGUGAGGUGGAGAUAUUAUGAGGCACUAUUUGGGUGGCCAUUAGAAGAAUUACAGCUGCUAAAGCUGUUAUUUAGGUUAUGACCUGCUUCAUUUUAUCCCUCAUCAAUGCACCAGUUCAGUUUAUACUAAUGAGAUCUGAAGAUGAACGUAUAAAUUCCCAAGGCACUCACACGAUCUCACAAACAGCCACUUCAGUUACGCUUAUGUUGAUUUUAACCAUGGUUUCUCAAAGCUUCAUUGUAGUUGUCACACCUGAUUUUCAUUAAAUCUUAAAAUUAGGAACAAUUAGAGGUUAAAUUAGAAAAACCGUAAGUUGAUGACCUCUACUGAAAAAUUAGGAAAAGUUAG
RNAcentral lists this long non-coding RNA (4712 nucleotides) under Gossypium barbadense (sea-island cotton). RNAcentral describes it as "long non-coding RNA (GBAR_LNC019951)". Lineage: Eukaryota; Viridiplantae; Streptophyta; Magnoliopsida; Malvales; Malvaceae. The record is from RNAcentral.